RNAcentral lists this ribosomal RNA (785 nucleotides) under uncultured cyanobacterium. RNAcentral's name for it is "bacterial SSU rRNA". It matches the Rfam family "Bacterial small subunit ribosomal RNA", at positions 56 to 887 of the family's 1533-position model. Lineage: Bacteria; Bacillati; Cyanobacteriota. The record is from RNAcentral.
UGCAAGUCGAACGAACCUUCGGGUUAGUGGCGGACGGGUGAGUAACGCGUGAGAAUCUGCCCUCAGGAGGGGGAUAACGGUUGGAAACGACCGCUAAUACCCCAUAUGCCUACUGGUGAAAUGAAUUUCGCCUGAGGAUGAGCUCGCGUCUGAUUAGCUAGUUGGUGUGGUAAUGGCUCACCAAGGCUUCGAUCAGUAGCUGGUCUGAGAGGAUGAUCAGCCACACUGGGACUGAGACACGGCCCAGACUCCUACGGGAGGCAGCAGUGGGGAAUUUUCCGCAAUGGGCGAAAGCCUGACGGAGCAACGCCGCGUGAGGGAAGAAGGCCUCUGGGCUGUAAACCUCUUUUCUCAAGGAAGAAGAUAUGACGGUACUUGAGGAAUAAGCCACGGCUAAUUCCGUGCCAGCAGCCGCGGUAAUACGGGAGUGGCAAGCGUUAUCCGGAAUUAUUGGGCGUAAAGCGUCCGCAGGCGGCUUUUCAAGUCUGCUGUUAAAGCGUGGAGCUUAACUCCAUCAUGGCAGUGGAAACUGAAAGGCUUGAGUAUGGUAGGGGCAGAGGGAAUUCCCGGUGUAGCGGUGAAAUGCGUAGAUAUCGGGAAGAACACCAGUGGCGAAGGCGCUCUGCUGGGCCAUUACUGACGCUCAUGGACGAAAGCCAGGGGAGCGAAAGGGAUUAGAUACCCCUGUAGUCCUGGCCGUAAACGAUGAACACUAGGUGUCGGGGGAAUCGACCCCUUCGGUGUCGUAGCUAACGCGUUAAGUGUUCCGCCUGGGGAGUACGCAC